UACGUAGGGAGCGAGCGUUGUCCGGAUUUACUGGGUGUAAAGGGUGCGUAGGCGGACUGGCAAGUCAGUGGUGAAAACUAUGGGCUUAACCCAUAGACUGCCAUUGAAACUGUUGGUCUUGAGUGAAGUAGAGGCAGGCGGAAUUCCCGGUGUAGCGGUGAAAUGCGUAGAGAUCGGGAGGAACACCAGUGGCGAAGGCGGCCUGCUGGGCUUUAACUGACGCUGAGGCACGAAAGUGUGGGUAGCAAACAGG
This 253-nucleotide ribosomal RNA is filed under the name uncultured bacterium. RNAcentral's name for it is "partial 16S ribosomal RNA". It matches the Rfam family "Bacterial small subunit ribosomal RNA", at positions 524 to 776 of the family's 1533-position model. The record is from RNAcentral.